UUUCCGUAGGUGAACCUGCGGAAGGAUCAUUAACGAGUUAGGGUCUUCUAGGCCCGACCUCCCAACCCUAUGUUUAUUGAACCUCUGUUGCUUCGGCAGACCCGCCUCACGGCCGCCGGAGGACCGCUGCAAGGCGUCCUCUGGCCAGCGUCCGCCGAUGGCCAACCACUUAAACUCUGAAUGAAUCGUGUCAUAUGUCUAAGUCUAUGUUUAAAUUAAAGCAAAACUUUCAACAACGGAUCUCUUGGUUCUGGCAUCGGUGAAGAACACAGC
RNAcentral lists this unclassified non-coding RNA (273 nucleotides) under plant metagenome. Its description in RNAcentral is "partial contains small subunit ribosomal RNA, internal transcribed spacer 1, and 5.8S ribosomal RNA". The stretch from base 225 to 273 matches the Rfam family "5.8S ribosomal RNA", at positions 1 to 49 of the family's 154-position model. The record is from RNAcentral.